RNAcentral lists this ribosomal RNA (374 nucleotides) under uncultured eukaryote. RNAcentral's name for it is "partial 18S ribosomal RNA". It matches the Rfam family "Eukaryotic small subunit ribosomal RNA", at positions 592 to 976 of the family's 1831-position model. The record is from RNAcentral.
CAAUAGCGUAUAUUUAAGUUGUUGCAGUUAAAAAGCUCGUAGUUGGAUUUCUGCUGAUCGCUGUCGGUCUGCCGUCAGGUGUGUACUGGCAGUGUUUGGCAUCUAUUCGAGAUUGGGUGUCCACUUGAUUGUGUGCACUCGAUGUCGGAGCUAAUACUUUGAGAAAAUUAGAGUGUUCCACGCAGGCGCGUGCCUUGAAUACUGCAGCAUGGGAUAUUGGAAGGCCGAUUGAGCUUUCUUGUUGGUUCUCGGUUUGAUCGGAAUGAUUAAUAGGGAUAGUUGGGGGCAUUCGUAUUCAACUGUCAGAGGUGAAAUUCUUGGAUUUGUUGAAGACUGACUACUGCGAAAGCAUCUGCCAUGGAUGUUCUCAUUGA